UUUCCGGUUGAUCCUGCCGGACCCUACUGCUAUCGGGAUGAGACUAAGCCAUGCUAGUUGUACGCUCUUUAGCUAUGUUGAGAGCGUAGCGAACGGCUCCGUAACACGUUGUUAAUCUACCCUUAGGAUAGGUAUAACCCCGGGAAACUGGGUCUAAUACCCAAUAGGUAAAAGUGCCUGGAAUGGUUUUUACUUAAAAGGUUUUAGAAACAUGCUUCUAAGACUGCCUAAGGAUGAGACUGCGUCCGAUCAGGUUGUUGGUGGGGUAACGGCCUACCAAGCCUAUAACCGGUACGGGCCCUGAGAGGGGGAGCCCGGAGAUGGGAACUGAGACAAGGUCCCAGGCCCUACGGGGCGCAGCAGGCGCGAAACCUCCACAAUACACGAAAGUGUGAUGGGGUUAUCCCGAGUGCCGUCCGAUAAGGAUGGCUUUUACCUGUUGUAAAGCGUCAGGAGAAUAAAGGGGGGGCAAGACUGGUGUCAGCCGCCGCGGUAAUACCAGCCCCCUGAGUGGUAGGGACGAUUAUUUGGCCUAAAGUGUUCGUAGCCGGUUUAACAAGUCUUUUGUUAAAUCCAACGGCUUAACCGUUGGGCCGCGAAAGAUACUAUUAAACUAGAGGACGGGAGAAGUCGACGGUAUUUCCGGGGUAGGGGUGAAAUCCUAUAAUCCCGGGAGGACCACCAGUGGCGAAGGCGGUCGACUAGAACGUGCCUGACGGUGAUGGACGAAAGCUAGGGGAGCGAACCGGAUUAGAUACCCGGGUAGUCCUAGCUGUAAACGAUGCGGGCUAGGUGUUGGAGUAGCUAUGCGCUAUUUCAGUGCCGCAGAGAAGUCGUUAAGCCCGCCGCCUGGGAAGUACGAUCGCAAGAUUGAAACUUAAAGGAAUUGGCGGGGGAGCACCACAAGGGGUGAAGCCUGCGGUUCAAUUGGAGUCAACGCCGGGA
RNAcentral lists this ribosomal RNA (945 nucleotides) under uncultured archaeon. RNAcentral's name for it is "bacterial SSU rRNA". It matches the Rfam family "Archaeal small subunit ribosomal RNA", at positions 1 to 923 of the family's 1478-position model. The record is from RNAcentral.